This 300-nucleotide long non-coding RNA is filed under the name Phaseolus vulgaris (common bean). RNAcentral describes it as "long non-coding RNA (PVUL_LNC002193)". The record is from RNAcentral. Lineage: Eukaryota; Viridiplantae; Streptophyta; Magnoliopsida; Fabales; Fabaceae.
UGGUGCCCUAACAGAAUUUUAGAAAAGCCUCUUAACAGAGAAGAAAUAAAUCGAUUCUUUCUCCAUAAAACAGAUUUAUUUUUGUACUGAUUUAAAUCUUUUAAGAGCACUUUUAGAAGCUUUUCAAAAACCAUUUAACCACAUCAUGUGCUUGAUCUAGACUUGGUUAGGCAUGUAGGAUGGGUUAUACAGCAAAAGGCAACCUUACACAAUUACAGGCCUAAUUACAAACGAAUCUAAAACCUAUUACAAACUUCAAAGCACUCAAGCUAUUUUCUUCAUCAAACACACAUCAAGCCU